ACGCACGCUGGCGGCAUGCCUAACCCCUGCCAGUCGCACGAGACCUUCGGGUCUAGUGGCGCCCGGGUGCGUAACGCGUGGGAACCUGCCCUUAGGUUCGGAAUAACUCCCCGCAAGGGGUGCUAAUACCGGAUAAUGUCUUCGGACCAAAGAUUUAUCGCCUUUGGAUGGGCCCGCGUUGGAUUAGCUAGUUGGUAGGGUAAAAGCCUACCAAGGCGACGAUCCAUAGCUGGUCUGAGAGGAUGAUCAGCCACACUGGGACUGAGACACGGCCCAGACUCCUACGGGAGGCAGCAGUGGGGAAUAUUGGACAAUGGGCGAAAGCCUGAUCCAGCAAUGCCGCGUGAGUGAUGAAGGCCUUAGGGUUGUAAAGCUCUUUUACCCGGGAUGAUAAUGACAGUACCGGGAGAAUAAGCUCCGGCUAACUCCGUG
Molecule: ribosomal RNA, 432 nt
Filed under: uncultured bacterium
Lineage: Bacteria
Description: partial 16S ribosomal RNA
Rfam family: Bacterial small subunit ribosomal RNA
Source: RNAcentral